GUCGAUUAGCCAUGCUAGUCGCACGAGUUCAGACUCGUGGCAGAUAGCUCAGUAACACGUGGCCAAACUACCCUAUAGAUCCGGCCAACCUCGGGAAACUGAGGCUAAUCCGGAAUAACGCUUUCAGCCUGGAGUGGCGAGAGCGUGAAACGCUCCGGCGCUAUAGGAUGUGGCUGCGGCCGAUUAGGUAGACGGUGGGGUAACGGCCCACCGUGCCAGUAAUCGGUACGGGUUGUGAGAGCAAGAGCCCGGAGACGGUAUCUGAGACAAGAUACCGGGCCCUACGGGGCGCAGCAGGCGCGAAACCUUUACACUGCACGCGAGUGCGAUAAGGGGACUCCAGGUGCGAGGGCAUAUAGUCCUCGCUUUUCUCGACCGUAGGGAGGUCGAGGAACAAGUGCUGGGCAAGACCGGUGCCAGCCGCCGCGGUAAUACCGGCAGCACAAGUGAUGACCGCUGUUAUUGGGCCUAAAGCGUCCGUAGCUGGCCAGACAAGUUCAUCGGGAAAUCUGUGCGCCUAACGCACAGGCGUCCGGUGGAAACUGCCUGGCUUGGGACCGGAAGACCAGAGGGGUACGUCUGGGGUAGGAGUGAAAUCCCGUAAUCCUGGACGGACCACCGGUGGCGAAAGCGCCUCUGGAAGACGGAUCCGACGGUGAGGGACGAAAGCUCGGGUCACGAACCGGAUUAGAUACCCGGGUAGUCCGAGCUGUAAACGAUGUCUGCUAGGUGUGACACAGGCUACGAGCCUGUGUUGUGCCGUAGGGAAGCCGUGAAGCAGACCGCCUGGGAAGUACGUCCGCAAGGAUGAAACUUAAAGGAAUUGGCGGGGGAGCACUACAACCGGAGGAGCCUGCGGUUUAAUUGGACUCAACGCCCGGACAUCUCACCAGCAUCGACAGUGUGCAGUGACAGUCAGUGUGAUGAGCUUACUUGAGCCACUGAGAGGAGGUGCAUGGGCCGCC
RNAcentral lists this ribosomal RNA (965 nucleotides) under Natrialba aegyptia. RNAcentral's name for it is "bacterial SSU rRNA". It matches the Rfam family "Archaeal small subunit ribosomal RNA", at positions 39 to 1002 of the family's 1478-position model. The record is from RNAcentral. Lineage: Archaea; Methanobacteriati; Methanobacteriota; Halobacteria; Halobacteriales; Natrialbaceae.